This 684-nucleotide long non-coding RNA is filed under the name Mustela putorius furo (domestic ferret). Its description in RNAcentral is "lncRNA (ENSMPUG00000029135.1)". Lineage: Eukaryota; Metazoa; Chordata; Mammalia; Carnivora; Mustelidae. The record is from RNAcentral.
AUGGCCCCUCCAGCCACAGCCUCUGAACUCCGUGCCGUCCUGGGAGAGACCCAAGAGACCCAGAAAUCCGUGUCCACGCUCCACAUGUGCACGAAUGUUCACAGCAGCGUUACUUGUAAUCACCAAAAGGUGGAAACAGCCCAUAAGGCCAUCAGCUGGCGAAUGGAUGGGAAAGAUGUGUUCUUUCUGUGUAAUGGAGCGUUAUCCGGCAGUAGGAGGAACAGAGGACUGACACCCACACAAGGUGCAUGGACUUGGAAGACAUGCAAAGUUAAAGAGGCCCGCCACAGGAAACCACCGACUGUAGGGCUCCACCAGUAGGACGUGUCCAGAACAGGCAAAUCCACAGAGCCGGGAAGUGGAUGACUGGUUGCCUUGGGCUGGAGGGGUUGGGGGUAAAAUGUGGAGGGACUGCCCGGGGGUAGAGAGUUUCUCUCUGGGGUGACAAUAAUGUUCUCAAAUUACAUAGUUAGGAUGGUUACACACCUCUGUGGCAAAACACUAAAACACACUGGGUUUUAUAUGUUGAGUAUACAUUUUAUGGAUGUAAAUUAUAUCUUGAGUUAAAACAAAAUUUUUUUUCAACAUCCCAAGGACGUUGGUUUGCCAAAGCCUGGGUCAGUGAAUGAAAGGCAACAACAGGAGGAAAGGAACACAGAGAUUUCUGGUCUUGGGUCAGGAGAG